This 254-nucleotide ribosomal RNA is filed under the name uncultured bacterium. RNAcentral describes it as "partial 16S ribosomal RNA". It matches the Rfam family "Bacterial small subunit ribosomal RNA", at positions 524 to 776 of the family's 1533-position model. The record is from RNAcentral.
UACGAGGGGGGCGAGCGUUGUUCGGAAUUAUUGGGCGUAAAGGGUGCGUAGGCGGUUUGGUAAGUCUGAUGUGAAAUCUAUGGGCUCAACUCAUAGUCUGCAUCGGAAACUGCCGGGCUUGAGUGUGGGAGAGGGAUGCGGAAUUCCAGGUGUAGCGGUGAAAUGCGUAGAUAUCUGGAGGAACACCGGUGGCGAAGGCGGCAUCCUGGACCACGACUGACGCUGAGUGAGCGAAAGCCAGGGGAGCAAACGGG